CCCUUAGAUGUUCUGGCCCGCACGCGCGCUACACUGAUGCAUUCAACGAGUUUCUUCCUGGUCCGAGAGGAAUGGGUAACCUUUUGAAAGUGCAUCGUGAUAGGGAUAGACUAUUGCAAUUAUUGGUCUUCAACGAGGAAUUCCUAGUAGACGUAGUUCAUCAGACUGCAUCGAUUACGUCCCUGCCCUUUGUACACACCGCCCGUCGCUCCUACCGAUUGAAUGCUCAGGUGAGCCAUUCGGACUUUCAUCAUGCUGGUUUCCAGUUUUGAUGAAGGAAAGUCUUGCGAACCUUAUCAUUUAGAGGAAGGAGAAGUCGUAACA
Molecule: ribosomal RNA, 324 nt
Filed under: uncultured eukaryote
Lineage: Eukaryota
Description: partial 18S ribosomal RNA
Rfam family: Eukaryotic small subunit ribosomal RNA
Source: RNAcentral